GAAUCUUGCACAAUGGGCGCAAGCCUGAUGCAGUAACGCCGCGUGCGGGAAGACGACCUUCGGGUUGUAAACCGCUUUUCACCGUGACGAGCGAGGACGGUAACGGUGGAAUCAGUCUCGGCUAACUACGUGCCAGCAGCCGCGGUAAGACGUAGGAGGCGAGCGUUAGCCGGAUUCACUGGGCGUAAAGCGCAUGUAGGCGGUUGGUCAAGUCGGUUGUGAAAGCCCCUGGCUCAACUGGGGGAGGACAACGGAGACUGAGCGACUGGAGGACAGCAGAGGAGCGUGGAACUCCCGGUGUAGCGGUGGAAUGCGUAGAGAUCGGGAAGAACACCAGUGGCGAAGGCGGCGCUCUGGGCUGUGCCUGACGCUGAGAUGCGAAAGUGUGGGGAGCAAACGGG
RNAcentral lists this ribosomal RNA (401 nucleotides) under uncultured bacterium. RNAcentral's name for it is "bacterial SSU rRNA". It matches the Rfam family "Bacterial small subunit ribosomal RNA", at positions 359 to 776 of the family's 1533-position model. The record is from RNAcentral.